Molecule: ribosomal RNA, 652 nt
Filed under: Enterobacter kobei
Lineage: Bacteria; Pseudomonadati; Pseudomonadota; Gammaproteobacteria; Enterobacterales; Enterobacteriaceae
Description: partial 23S ribosomal RNA
Rfam family: Bacterial large subunit ribosomal RNA
Source: RNAcentral
CUGUAAGCCGUUGAAGGUGGCCUGUGAGGGUUGCUGGAGGUAUCAGAAGUGCGAAUGCUGACAUAAGUAACGAUAAAGCGGGUGAAAAGCCCGCUCGCCGGAAGACCAAGGGUUCCUGUCCAACGUUAAUCGGGGCAGGGUGAGUCGACCCCUAAGGCGAGGCCGAAAGGCGUAGUCGAUGGGAAACAGGUUAAUAUUCCUGUACUUGGUGUUACUGCGAAGGGGGGACGGAGAAGGCUAUGUUAGCCGGGCGACGGUUGUCCCGGUUUAAGCAUGUAGGCGGAGGUUCCAGGUAAAUCCGGUACCUUUUUAACGCUGAGGUGUGAUGACGAGGCACUACGGUGCUGAAGUAACAAAUGCCCUGCUUCCAGGAAAAGCCUCUAAGCAUCAGGUAACACGAAAUCGUACCCCAAACCGACACAGGUGGUCAGGUAGAGAAUACCAAGGCGCUUGAGAGAACUCGGGUGAAGGAACUAGGCAAAAUGGUGCCGUAACUUCGGGAGAAGGCACGCUGAUAUGUAGGUGAAGCCCCUGCGGGUGGAGCUGAAAUCAGUCGAAGAUACCAGCUGGCUGCAACUGUUUAUUAAAAACACAGCACUGUGCAAACACGAAAGUGGACGUAUACGGUGUGACGCCUGCCCGGUGCCGGAAG